Dipodomys ordii (Ord's kangaroo rat) is the source of this 100-nucleotide small nuclear RNA. NCBI's taxonomy places the organism in Eukaryota, Metazoa, Chordata, Mammalia, Rodentia, Heteromyidae. The record is from Ensembl.
GAGCUGACAUCAGCACAUAUACGAAGAUUAGAACAAUACAAAAAAUUAGCAUCCCCUGCAUAAUGAAGACUUGAAAAUUAAGGAAGUGUUCCAUAUUUUU